Non-coding RNA from Paramuricea clavata, 649 nucleotides. NCBI's taxonomy places the organism in Eukaryota, Metazoa, Cnidaria, Anthozoa, Malacalcyonacea, Plexauridae. The record is from the annotation of a GenBank genome assembly.
CUAACAGCCAGGAACUGCAUUCCACAAAUUUGCUCCUCUCCCAUCCUGUUAAGACACAUGCUCCAUAGACGGAUUUGCUGGGUCUAGGGCUAAAUAUUUGACAGAGCCCGACAAGAGCAAUAGUGUUUACAAUCGUAUUUGGAGUCCAAUAAGUUAUUUCUGCAUUGUCAUGUCUUAUCUGGUCUAAUAGCUGAUUUUUGAAGCUUAUCUUCGAAUUCAUUGUUAAAUUAAACUUCCCGUAAGACCAGCAGGCGAAAUAGGACUAUAUUAGCGGGGAAAAAAGAUUAAAAAAAAUAAACCAGCAACAAAGUUUUUACAAACCAUUUCUCAGUGUGGUAAUUCCAUUUUAAGGUGGCUCACUACAGUUUGUUCUUUUUAAAUGGAAAAUUUACCACUAUUAUCUACUUGUUAGACUACCAGCCGACUCUCUGAAAGGUGUACUCAGAUGGCAUUUUCUGUUACAAGCUGGCAUAUGUUGGCAACUCUGAUUUUGGCUUUAUAGCCGAAAAUGUGAGAAUUUUAAAAUUUUGCCUAUUAUAAGUGCUAUGUUGACUAAAAAUGCAACAUUUCAAGUUUACUUUUCGUAAAAAAUAAGCUAUAUACCAUUAGAACGUUCGCAAUAUAUGUGUAUAUAAGACAUUUAAGCAAG